ACAUGCAAGUCGAGCGAUCUCUGAUUAAUGAAGGGGCUUGCAUCUUGAUUUUAUUUUGAACGAGUGGCGGACGGGUGAGUCACACGUGGGUAACCUGCCCUUAAGUGGGGGAUAACAUUUGGAAACAGAUGCUAAUACCGCAUAAAUCCAAGAACCGCAUGGUUCUUGGCUGAAAGAUGGCGUAAGCUAUCGCUUUUGGAUGGACCCGCGGCGUAUUAGCUAGUUGGUGAGGUAACGGCUCACCAAGGCAAUGAUACGUAGCCGAACUGAGAGGUUGAUCGGCCACAUUGGGACUGAGACACGGCCCAAACUCCUACGGGAGGCAGCAGUAGGGAAUCUUCCACAAUGGACGCAAGUCUGAUGGAGCAACGCCGCGUGAGUGAAGAAGGCUUUCGGGUCGUAAAACUCUGUUGUUGGAGAAGAAUGGUCGGCAGAGUAACUGUUGUCGGCGUGACGGUAUCCAACCAGAAAGCCACGGCUAACUACGUGCCAGCAGCCGCGGUAAUACGUAGGUGGCAAGCGUUAUCCGGAUUUAUUGGGCGUAAAGCGAGCGCAGGCGGUUUUUUAAGUCAUUGAUGUAA
RNAcentral lists this ribosomal RNA (581 nucleotides) under Lacticaseibacillus rhamnosus. RNAcentral's name for it is "bacterial SSU rRNA". It matches the Rfam family "Bacterial small subunit ribosomal RNA", at positions 53 to 599 of the family's 1533-position model. The record is from RNAcentral. Lineage: Bacteria; Bacillati; Bacillota; Bacilli; Lactobacillales; Lactobacillaceae.